GAUGAACGCUGGCGGCGUGCCUAAUACAUGCAAGUCGAGCGAACAGACGAGGAGCUUGCUCCUCUGACGUUAGCGGCGGACGGGUGAUUCACACGUGGAUAACCUACCUAUAAGACUGGGAUAACUUCGGGAAACCGGAUCUAAUACCGGAUAAUAUAUUGAACCGCAUGGUUCAAUAGUGAAAGUCGGUUUUGCUUUCACUUAUAGAUGGAUCCGCGCCGCAUUAGGUAGUUGGUAAGGUAACGGCUUACCAAGGCGACGAUGCGUACCCGACCUGAGGGGGAGGAUGGCUAGACGGGACGUGAGGAAGGGCCGCGACACUGGGAGGAGGAAACGGUAGAGAAUCUUCCGGAAGGGGGGAAGGGCGAAUGGUGCAACGCGGGGGGAAGGAUGAAGGACUACUGACCGUAGAGUGAUGAAGGUAUGAGGGAACAAAUGUUCAAUUAACUGGGAAGGUAUUGACGGUACCGGGUGAAAAAGCCCCGGCUAACUACGUG
This 497-nucleotide ribosomal RNA is filed under the name uncultured bacterium. Its description in RNAcentral is "partial 16S ribosomal RNA". It matches the Rfam family "Bacterial small subunit ribosomal RNA", at positions 28 to 507 of the family's 1533-position model. The record is from RNAcentral.